CUAGCAAUUGGGAUGUAGCUACUUCUAUGGCUCAUUCAGUCGCUUCUCGGGAAACCAAAGCUUUUGGGCUCCGGGGGAAGUAUGGUCGCAAAGCUGAAACUUAAAGGAAUUGACGGAAGGGCACCACCAGGAGUGGAGCCUGCGGCUUAAUUUGACUCAACACGGGAAAACUUACCCGGCCCGGACACUGGAAGGAUUGACAGAUUGAGAGCUCUUUCUUGAUUCAGUGGGUGGUGGUGCAUGGCCGUUCUUAGUUGGUGGAGCGAUUUGUCUGGUUAAUUCCGAUAACGAACAAGACUCUAGCCUACUAAAUAGACUGUUCAGCUUUAUAGUCGGAAUCACCGGGCACGUAGCUUUCGGGUUGCGUGUUCGGCUCUGGUGACGUUGGCAGUGCUUCUUAGAGGGACAGGCGGCGGUUCAGCCGCACGAAACAGAGCAAUAACAGGUCUGUGAUGCCCUUAGAUGUCCGGGGCUGCACGCGCGCUACACUGAAGUGAUCAGCGUGCAAUUUACGUUUGGUGAUCUGUCAAGAUUGCCCAACCCGUUGAACCUUCUUCGUGAUUGGGAUAGGGGAUUGUAAUUAUUCCCCUUGAACGAGGAAUUCCCAGUAAGCGCAAGUCAUAAGCUUGCGUUGAUUACGUCCCUGCCCUUUGUACACACCGCCCG
This 666-nucleotide ribosomal RNA is filed under the name uncultured eukaryote. Its description in RNAcentral is "bacterial SSU rRNA". It matches the Rfam family "Eukaryotic small subunit ribosomal RNA", at positions 1046 to 1675 of the family's 1831-position model. The record is from RNAcentral.